UCCCUGGUGGUCUAGCGGUUAAGAGUCUGCCUUGCAAUGCAGGGAAUGCAGGUUCAAUCCCUGGUCAGGGAA
Transfer RNA from Ovis aries (sheep), 72 nucleotides. It matches the Rfam family "tRNA". Rfam says of the family: Transfer RNA (tRNA) molecules are approximately 80 nucleotides in length. Their secondary structure includes four short double-helical elements and three loops (D, anti-codon, and T loops). NCBI's taxonomy places the organism in Eukaryota, Metazoa, Chordata, Mammalia, Artiodactyla, Bovidae. The record is from Rfam.